This 253-nucleotide ribosomal RNA is filed under the name uncultured bacterium. RNAcentral describes it as "partial 16S ribosomal RNA". It matches the Rfam family "Bacterial small subunit ribosomal RNA", at positions 524 to 776 of the family's 1533-position model. The record is from RNAcentral.
UACGAAGGGGGCAAGCGUUGUUCGGAAUCACUGGGCGUAAAGCGCACGUAGGCGGAUUGUUAAGUCAGGGGUGAAAUCCUGGAGCUCAACUCCAGAACUGCCUUUGAUACUGGCGAUCUUGAGUCCGGGAGAGGUGAGUGGAACUCCCAGUGUAGCGGUGAAAUGCGUAGAUAUUGGGAGGAACACCAGUGGCGAAGGCGGCUCACUGGACCGGAACUGACGCUGAGGCGCGAAAGCGUGGGGAGCAAACAGG